Molecule: ribosomal RNA, 303 nt
Filed under: uncultured bacterium
Lineage: Bacteria
Description: partial 16S ribosomal RNA
Rfam family: Bacterial small subunit ribosomal RNA
Source: RNAcentral
AGCAGUCGCCACGGUAAUACGAAGGGUGCAAGCGUUACUCGGAAUUACUGGGCGUAAAGCGUGCGUAGGUGGUGGUUUAAGUCCGUUGUGAAAGCCCUGGGCUCAACCUGGGAAUUGCAGUGGAUACUGGGUCACUAGAGUGUGGUAGAGGAUAGUGGAAUUUCCGGUGUAGCAGUGAAAUGCGUAGAGAUCGGAAGGAACAUCUGUGGCGAAGGCGACUAUCUGGGCCAACACUGACACUGAGGCACGAAAGCGUGGGGAGCAAACAGGAUUAGAUACCCCCGUAGUCCCUGUCUCUUAACA